This 459-nucleotide ribosomal RNA is filed under the name uncultured bacterium. RNAcentral describes it as "partial 16S ribosomal RNA". It matches the Rfam family "Bacterial small subunit ribosomal RNA", at positions 338 to 795 of the family's 1533-position model. The record is from RNAcentral.
CCUACGGGGGGCAGCAGUGAGGAAUAUUGGUCAAUGGGCGCGAGCCUGAACCAGCCAAGUCGCGUGAGGGAAGACGGUCCUAUGGAUUGUAAACCUCUUUUGUCGGGGAGCAAAAGACGCCACGCGUGGCGUUCCGAGAGUACCCGAAGAAAAAGCAUCGGCUAACUCCGUGCCAGCAGCCGCGGUAAUACGGAGGAUGCGAGCGUUAUCCGGAUUUAUUGGGUUUAAAGGGUGCGUAGGCGGAAUGCCAAGUCAGCGGUAAAAUCGCGGGGCUCAACCUCGCUCCGCCGUUGAAACUGGCGUUCUUGAGUGGGCGAGAAGUAUGCGGAAUGCGUGGUGUAGCGGUGAAAUGCAUAGAUAUCACGCAGAACUCCGAUUGCGAAGGCAGCAUACCGGCGCCCAACUGACGCUGAAGCACGAAAGCGUGGGUAUCGAACAGGAUUAGAUACCCCUGUAGUC